GUAAACUCGAGAAUGACCUUCUUCACGUUUUUUAAGGCAGUAUAAACUUGGUAAAAAUCACAAACAUAAAAAUAAAGGAAAUACGUAAAAUAAAACGAGCACUUGAUAAAGUAGCGAUAUAAACACUCACCUGUAGGGAGCCAAAUCUACUAAACUAACUACGGAAUCACAAAACGUAAUAGGACUGCAGGUUGAUAGCCGGAGGACUAAAGUUCGCUUUGAAAUGAAGGAUACUUUGCCGAAAUGCAAUCAGGUUAAAAUAACCGAAUUUGAAUGAAUUUGAGCUUGGACAAUGGGAGUGGAAAUAAAGAUAACAAAGUCUGAAAGUGAGAGUCACAGGAUAAUGAACGGACUGA
RNAcentral lists this unclassified non-coding RNA (356 nucleotides) under Hevea brasiliensis (rubber tree). Lineage: Eukaryota; Viridiplantae; Streptophyta; Magnoliopsida; Malpighiales; Euphorbiaceae. The record is from RNAcentral.